UGCAAGUCGAACGGUAACAGGAAGCAGCUUGCUGCUUCGCUGACGAGUGGCGGACGGGUGAGUAAUGUCUGGGAAACUGCCUGAUGGAGGGGGAUAACUACUGGAAACGGUAGCUAAUACCGCAUAACGUCGCAAGACCAAAGAGGGGGACCUUCGGGCCUCUUGCCAUCGGAUGUGCCCAGAUGGGAUUAGCUAGUAGGUGGGGUAACGGCUCACCUAGGCGACGAUCCCUAGCUGGUCUGAGAGGAUGACCAGCCACACUGGAACUGAGACACGGUCCAGACUCCUACGGGAGGCAGCAGUGGGGAAUAUUGCACAAUGGGCGCAAGCCUGAUGCAGCCAUGCCGCGUGUAUGAAGAAGGCCUUCGGGUUGUAAAGUACUUUCAGCGGGGAGGAAGGCGAUAAGGUUAAUAACCUUGUCGAUUGACGUUACCCGCAGAAGAAGCACCGGCUAACUCCGUGCCAGCAGCCGCGGUAAUACGGAGGGUGCAAGCGUUAAUCGGAAUUACUGGGCGUAAAGCGCACGCAGGCGGUCUGUCAAGUCGGAUGUGAAAUCCCCGGGCUCAACCUGGGAACUGCAUUCGAAACUGGCAGGCUAGAGUCUUGUAGAGGGGGGUAGAAUUCCAGGUGUAGCGGUGAAAUGCGUAGAGAUGCUGGAGGAAUACCGGUGGCGAAGGCGGCCCCCUGGACAAAGACUGACGCU
RNAcentral lists this ribosomal RNA (703 nucleotides) under Enterobacter hormaechei. Its description in RNAcentral is "bacterial SSU rRNA". It matches the Rfam family "Bacterial small subunit ribosomal RNA", at positions 56 to 747 of the family's 1533-position model. Lineage: Bacteria; Pseudomonadati; Pseudomonadota; Gammaproteobacteria; Enterobacterales; Enterobacteriaceae. The record is from RNAcentral.